This 496-nucleotide ribosomal RNA is filed under the name uncultured soil bacterium. RNAcentral describes it as "bacterial SSU rRNA". It matches the Rfam family "Bacterial small subunit ribosomal RNA", at positions 26 to 523 of the family's 1533-position model. The record is from RNAcentral.
AGAUUGAACGCUAGCGGGAUGCCUUACACAUGCAAGUCGAACGGCAGCGCGGACUUCGGUCUGGCGGCGAGUGGCGAACGGGUGAGUAAUAUAUCGGAACGUGCCCAGUAGCGGGGGAUAACUACGCGAAAGCGUGGCUAAUGCCGCAUACGCCCUACGGGGGAAAGGGGGGAUCGCAAGACCUCUCACUAUUGGAGCGGCCGAUAUCAGAUUAGCUAGUUGGUGAGGUAAAGGCUCACCAAGGCGACGAUCUGUAGCUGGUUUGAGAGGACGACCAGCCACACUGGGACUGAGACACGGCCCAGACUCCUACGGGAGGCAGCAGUGGGAAUUUUGGACAAUGGGGGAAACCUGAUCCAGCCAUCCCGCGUGUGCGAUGAAGGCCCUCGGGUUGUAAAGCACUUUUGGCAGGAAGAAACGGCGUCCCUUAAUACGGGCUCACUGACGGUACCUGCAGAAUAAGCACCGGCUAACUACGUGCCAGCAGCCGCGGUAA